RNAcentral lists this ribosomal RNA (427 nucleotides) under uncultured bacterium. RNAcentral's name for it is "bacterial SSU rRNA". It matches the Rfam family "Bacterial small subunit ribosomal RNA", at positions 958 to 1399 of the family's 1533-position model. The record is from RNAcentral.
AACGCGAAGAACCUUACCAAGGUUUGACAUCCUGAGAAGGUCUCUGAAAGGAGACUGUGCCUUCGGGAACUCAGUGACAGGUGUUGCAUGGCCGUCGUCAGCUCGUGUCGUGAGAUGUUUGGUUAAGUCCAUCAACGAGCGCAACCCUUUUAGUUAGUUGCUUUUUCUAGCUAGACUGCCCUGGUAACAGGGAGGAAGGAGGGGACGAUGUCAGGUCAGUAUUACCCUUACACCUUGGGCUACAAACACGCUACAAUGGCCGGUACAAAGGGCUGCCAAGUCGCGAGACGGAGCAAAUCCCAUCAAAGCCGGUCUCAGUUCGGAUUGUAGGCUGAAACCCGCCUACAUGAAGCUGGAAUCGCUAGUAACGGUAGGUCAGCAUUACUACCGUGAAUACGUUCCCGGGCCUUGUACACACCGCUCGCGA